CAGUCGCCGCGGUAAAACGUAGGUGGCAGGCGUUGUCCGGAAUUACUGGGCGUAAAGCGUGCGCAGGCGGUUAUAUAAGUCAGAUGUGAAAUCCCCGGGCUCAACCUGGGAACUGCAUUUGAGACUGUAUGGCUAGAGUGUGUCAGAGGGGGGUAGAAUUCCACGUGUAGCAGUGAAAUGCGUAGAUAUUAGGAAGAACACCAGUGGCGAAGGCGACUUUCUGGACGAAAACUGACGCUGAGGAGCGAAAGCGUGGGGAGCGAACGGGAUUAGAUACCCCCGUAGUCCCUGUCUCUUAUAC
This 301-nucleotide ribosomal RNA is filed under the name uncultured bacterium. RNAcentral describes it as "partial 16S ribosomal RNA". It matches the Rfam family "Bacterial small subunit ribosomal RNA", at positions 509 to 807 of the family's 1533-position model. The record is from RNAcentral.